CCUACGGGAGGCAGCAGUGGGGAAUCUUGGACAAUGGGCGAAAGCCUGAUCCAGCGACGCCGCGUGGAGGAAGAAGUCCUUCGGGAUGUAAACUUCUGAACUAGCCGAAUAAAAGGCCUGUGGACACACAGGAGAAGAAAGUAGGCUAGGAAAAGUCCCGGCUAACUACGUGCCAGCAGCCGCGGUAAGACGUAGGGGGCAAGCGUUACCCGGAAUUACUGGGCGUAAAGGGGGCGUAGGCGGUAAAAGAAGUCAUCUGUGAAAACCUAUUGCUCAACGAUAGGCUAGCGGAUGAAACUGAAUUACUUGAGGGCACCAGAGGUAGACGGAAUUACCCGAGUAGGGGUGAAAUCCGCAGAUACGGGUAGGAACGCCGGUGGAGAAGUCGGUCUACUGGGGUGCACCAGACGCUGAGGCCCGAAAGCUAGGGGAGCAAACCGGAUUAGAUACCCGGGUAGUCCUAGCCGUAAACGAUGCUCACUAGGUGUAGGGAGUGA
Molecule: ribosomal RNA, 497 nt
Filed under: uncultured Thermotogaceae bacterium
Lineage: Bacteria; Thermotogati; Thermotogota; Thermotogae; Thermotogales; Thermotogaceae
Description: bacterial SSU rRNA
Rfam family: Bacterial small subunit ribosomal RNA
Source: RNAcentral